GACGAACGCUGGCGGCGUGCUUAACACAUGCAAGUCGAACGGACAGGCCCUGCUUUUGUGGGGUGCUCGAUUGGCGAACGGGUGUGUAACACGUGAGUAACCUCCCCUUGACUUUGGGAUAACUUCAGGAAACUGGGGCUAAUACCGGAUAUGAGCUCCUGCUGCAUGGUGUGGGUUGGAAAGUUUCGGCGGUUGGGGAUGGACUCGCGGCUUAUCAGCUGUUUGGUGGGGUAGUUGCUUACCAAGGCUUUGACGGGUAGGCGGCCUGAGAGGGUGACCGGCCACAUUGGGACUGAGAUACGGACCAGACUGCUACGGGAGGCAGCAGUGGGGAAUAUUGCACAAUGGGCGGACGCCUGAUGCAGAAACGCCGCGUGCGGGAUGACGGCCUUCGGGUUGUAAACCGCUUUCGCCUGUGACGAAGCGUGAGUGACGGUAAUGGGUAAAGAAGCACCGGCUAACUACGUG
RNAcentral lists this ribosomal RNA (468 nucleotides) under uncultured bacterium. RNAcentral describes it as "partial 16S ribosomal RNA". It matches the Rfam family "Bacterial small subunit ribosomal RNA", at positions 28 to 507 of the family's 1533-position model. The record is from RNAcentral.